Acanthochromis polyacanthus (spiny chromis) is the source of this 2448-nucleotide long non-coding RNA. RefSeq lists it as uncharacterized. The record is from RefSeq and is a predicted model, not a curated record. The transcript is spliced from 2 exons. Lineage: Eukaryota; Metazoa; Chordata; Actinopteri; Pomacentridae.
CUGGGAGACCCGGCAUUGAGAUGAACGAGGAGACAGUGAACGCUGCACUGGCAGACCGCUGGUGUUUAAAAGCUUCCAACAGGCUUUGUCCAAACACAGAAAACUUUAUUUAACAUGCAGCUCCACGACUCAAACACUGCACCGAAUGAAUGAAGCUAAUGACAUCAUCGCACCUUGGAAACAGAAAAUAUCACCGUUACAUUACAUUUCAGGGUCAAAUGUAUAAUUCCUUUGGUAUAACUCAAACAGAUGCUAGAGCCACAUUUGUUUAUAUCAUAUAUUACUCUAUUUUUGGGGUUAUUUGUACUCCAGCAGCCAGACAGAGAAUUAAUGUUCUUACUGGACAGCAGAACCAAACAGGACACAGUCGGGUUCACAGUAAAACAUCAAUUAAUCUGUUAAUCGCAUCACUUAAAACAUUCAGUUUAACGUGAAGAUUUAUUCAGUAAAAUCGUGGCAGACUGGCCCUUUAAAGCCUCUGUUUUGCCUGUCAUUGCAACCCAGUCGGCCAUGUUUUCCUGAUCUGUCACAGUGCUGUGUCCAGGUUCUUGUGGUUCGUGAGGCGUUCACUGACCCACCACCACCGCUGCUGCUGCUGCACGUGAAGCAUGCCGCUCUGUUGACAUCUUCAGCCAAUCACAGGAGGAGGAGGCUGAAGAGGCCUGUGAUUGGCCGGAAGCAGGAGUAGGGUGAGCUCAUGAUGCUGCUGUCAGCUGACAACCCAACAGUCCUCAGUGACCCCCAACAUUGUUCACCAGCCGGGCUGAACCUGCCGCUGCAGCUGACGGGCACAGCAGGCAGCUGUUACCAUGGAGACGGGUGCCAUGAUGUGCCAUGGCCUUCUGCCUGCAGCAAGACAAGUCACUUUUAUUUAGAUUACUUAUAGUGCCCAACCCCACCAACCAUGAACUUACCCACUCAGCCUCAAAUCACAUGAAGUCGACAGAAUGACCCUUUAAAUUUAAACCUGAAUGAAAUGUCUGGACCAGAAGAGAGGCAAACACACCCACACAAUCAGUGGACAGUAUGGACCUUAAGGGUGACAAAAUCUCAGACUGAAAGGUGAGGUAACCCUGAUCCACCAAACAGACCUGAUUCUCCACUGAGGCCUGGGCAGAGAUCAGACCACCACACAGAAGGAAACAGAACCGAGGCUUUGUGGAACAAACAGUAGCAUCCAUCAGCAGCACAAACACCAACACUCAGCGUCUUCACAUGGACCUGAUCAGGUUUUAAAGUAUCCCGACUGUGUUUGUGCAUGCGAAACAUCAGGUGGAUUUCAGAGGGCUGGAAAGAUGAAUGAAGUCACAAACAGACAAUCCCACCUCUGGUGUGACGGAGCUAAAGAGGAGUUAAAUAGAGAGAGAGUGGUAGAGCGAGCUUUACUCUCUCACUAACAAAGACUUCACUGUUUCAUUCAUGCACUCUCAUUUCAUAUGCAAAUGAGCAGGCUGAGAGGGGCGGAGUCUGUGUCACUAUUUGUAAUCCGGAUCAGUUUAGUCUGUCUGCUGGAGAUCUAGAUCCAGAUCUGUGUCCGUCUCUGACCUCUGGCAUCAUCACCUCCAGUGUGUCUACAGUCAGGAUUUCAGAGAGACUUAGGACACGAGUCAGAUCUCCAUCCAAGAGGUACUCACAUCCUUUACUUCAGUUAACCCUCGUGUCGUCCUGCAGGUCAAAAUUGACCUGGUUUAAAGGUUGAAAAUGUGAAAAAAAAAAAUUUUCACAGUGAAACUUCCGAUGUCCACAUUUUCAACAUUUUUGGGAAACCUUUGAACAUUUUUUGGUGGAAAAAAGAAAAGUUAAAAAAGUUUAAGAAUAGUCACAAAAAAUCUACCAAAAUCUAGUGAAUUUCCCUGAAUUUUGGUUGAUUUUUAUAUGAACGUUCUUAAUGAAAAAUAUUAGAAGUUUUACUGUUAUAUAUGUAAUCAUUUUUACUUUACUUUUACUCAUUUUUAAAAAAAUAUUUACAAGAAUUUUCUUGCCAAAUUUCGGGGAUUUUUUUUUAAAAUAAAACUUUUAAGGGAAAAUUUUAAGGAAUGAUUGAAAUUUUCUUCCAGAAGGAAUUUUCAGAAAUUUGGGGAUUUUUUUUGCUGAAUUUUUAAAAAAAAAAAUUUCAGACAAGGUAACAAUAUUUUUUGGUGCCUGUAAAUGAGGACAACAGGAGGGUUAAAGCAGCAAACAGUGUCAGAAAUACUCAGUUGCAGGUUAAAGUCCUGCAUUCAAAAUUCUACUAAAGCAAAGUAUUCUUGGAGAAACAUGCUUUAGUAUCAGCAGUAAAUAUGUAAAAUUGUUCUGCAGUAGAAUCUUUUGGUCACUCAUCACAUGUCAAGAUGACUGGAAACCACUGAUUUCAUCUUUAAAAAUGUGCAUUUAAUGAAUUUAGCGAGUGUUUUAACGUAAAAUGUUAAAAUCUUAAUGAGUAUCAAAUAAAGACUUUUUGUUCCACUA